This 440-nucleotide ribosomal RNA is filed under the name uncultured bacterium. RNAcentral describes it as "partial 16S ribosomal RNA". It matches the Rfam family "Bacterial small subunit ribosomal RNA", at positions 338 to 795 of the family's 1533-position model. The record is from RNAcentral.
CCUACGGGAGGCAGCAGUGGGGAAUAUUGCACAAUGGGGGAAACCCUGAUGCAGCGACGCCGCGUGAGUGAAGAAGUAAUUCGUUAUGUAAAGCUCUAUCAGCAGGGAAGAAAAUGACGGUACCUGAGUAAGAAGCCCCGGCUAACUACGUGCCAGCAGCCGCGGUAAUACGUAGGGGGCAAGCGUUAUCCGGAUUUACUGGGUGUAAAGGGAGCGUAGACGGCAGUGAAAGUCUGGAGUGAAAGGCGGGGGCUCAACCACCGGACUGCUCUGGAAACUGUACGGCUUGAGUGCAGGAGAGGUAAGUGGAAUUCCGAGUGUAGCGGUGAAAUGCGUAGAUAUUAGGAGGAACACCAGUGGCGAAGGCGGCUUACUGGACUGUAACUGACGUUGAGGCUCGAAAGCGUGGGGAGCAAACAGGAUUAGAUACCCGAGUAGUC